UGCAGUGGACUUGGACUGUGCCGUAGUUGGCUCGUCUUGAAAUUCAUUAGCUGUGCUGUGCGAUUUCGGCCGCCUGGUGUGAUAACUAUCUACGCCAACUGUGUCGUCAUUGGUCGGUGUGGCUCAUAAUCGUCGGCUUUGUUCGACAAUACACAUAACGCUCUGGCCUCAAAUCAGGUAGGACUACCCGCUGAACUUAA
RNAcentral lists this unclassified non-coding RNA (200 nucleotides) under soil metagenome. Its description in RNAcentral is "partial contains internal transcribed spacer 2 and large subunit ribosomal RNA". The record is from RNAcentral.